This 229-nucleotide ribosomal RNA is filed under the name uncultured bacterium. RNAcentral describes it as "partial 16S ribosomal RNA". It matches the Rfam family "Bacterial small subunit ribosomal RNA", at positions 568 to 796 of the family's 1533-position model. The record is from RNAcentral.
CGUGUAGGCGGCUUUUUAAGUCGAUUGUGAAAUCCCUUGGCUUAACCAAGGAACUGCAACCGAUACUGAGAGGCUUGAGUGCGGAAGAGGAAAGCGGAAUUCCCGGUGUAAGAGUGAAAUCUGUAGAGAUCGGGAGGAACACCAGUGGCGAAGGCGGCUUUCUGGUCCGCAACUGACGCUGAAAUGCGAAAGCUAGGGGAGCAAACAGGAUUAGAUACCCUGGUAGUCC